UGAACGCUGGCGGCGUGCUUAACACAUGCAAGUCGAACGGUAACAGCAGAGCUUGCUCUGGCUGACGAGUGGCGCACGGGUGAGUAAUAUAUAGUUAAUGUGCCUCGAAGACCGGGAUAGCCAUUGGAAACGAUGAUUAAUACUGGAUAUACCUACUAAUCAUAAGUUUAGUAGGGAAACGUUUUUUCGCUUCGAGAUCAGACUAUAUCCCAUCAGUUAGUUGGUAGUGUAAGAGACUACCAAGGCAAUGACGGGUAGCGGGUUUGAGAGGAUGAUCCGCCACACUGGUACUGAGACACGGACCAGACUCCUACGGGAGGCAGCAGUGAGGAAUAUUGCACAAUGGGGGAAACCCUGAUGCAGCAACGCCGCGUGGAGGAUGACGCAUUUCGGUGUGUAAACUCCUUUUAUAUGUCAAGAAAAUGACGGUAGCAUAUGAAUAAGCACCGGCUAACUCC
Molecule: ribosomal RNA, 458 nt
Filed under: uncultured bacterium
Lineage: Bacteria
Description: bacterial SSU rRNA
Rfam family: Bacterial small subunit ribosomal RNA
Source: RNAcentral